Phyllopteryx taeniolatus (common seadragon) is the source of this 1003-nucleotide long non-coding RNA. RefSeq lists it as uncharacterized. The record is from RefSeq and is a predicted model, not a curated record. The transcript has 3 exons. Lineage: Eukaryota; Metazoa; Chordata; Actinopteri; Syngnathiformes; Syngnathidae.
UGUGCAACAGGGCUGUUCGGGUUCUCAUGGCUGGCUCAGGCGACAAGACAUUUGGUCUUUCCCGAUGACACUAUGUCAGACUACUGCCAUCAAACCUUGCCGUUUCUGGGGCAUACAGUGGCAACACUACUCGACAUUUAUUCCGAUAGCACCCUAUCCCGUCUUUUACCAUCACUGGGCUCUAUCUUGUCAAAUCAAACACUGUCUGAGAGGUGGAAGUAGAAAACGUGUCACCGGUCAACGCGACGGGACACACUCGUUACGAUGGUGACGACAACAACAAUGCGCCGCGUCAAUCUCUUGUUUCUGUGUAUGCCUGUGCGUGUGAGUGACUGUGGGGGGACAAAAUGUGGAAAAACCUGUUCGUCACUGGUGCUCGGGAGAGAACGUUCAUUGAAGGAUUGCUUGAGGUACCACUAGAGGGAACCCGCACCACUCAACAAUUUGAGAACCACUGCUCUCUGCUGUUCAUUUAUACUUAAUUGUUGUCCAUGUGACCCUCAAGAGGACUUGCUUCUACUGCUGUUUAAAUGUCCGAUCACGAUGUUUUGAGCAAAUGCCGUACUGAACCAAGUGACUUCAAAUGAUAAAGGAUCAAGGAUCAAUCAACUGUGAUUAUAUAGUGAUUUUGACAGAGCAAUAAACACACAAUCAUUUACACAUUUCUGCAUUGUACCUGUGUUGAAAAUGCAUGUGAAAAUGGCGACUACAUGUGGACCAUAAUAAUACUGCAAUGCACUUCAUAUACUCACACUGGCAACAGUAUUCAUUAACAAUCAUGUGACUUGUACAAAAAAAAAUAAAAAUAAUCACUGGUUAUUUGAAACGGCGACCGAUCACAGCUGUGUGCUGAUGGCAACGUACGACGGCCACAGCUCGAAUCACUAAGUAGUUGGUCCGUGACACUGAUGCAAACUAAGUACAGUAGCGGUGCUUGCGACUGGGACUGCCAGGACACAGAACAUUUUCUGACAAAAAGUGUGACCAAAAAAUUAAAUAAAAG